RNAcentral lists this unclassified non-coding RNA (644 nucleotides) under Priapulus caudatus. RNAcentral describes it as "uncharacterized LOC106810929, transcript variant X2". Lineage: Eukaryota; Metazoa; Priapulida; Priapulimorpha; Priapulimorphida; Priapulidae. The record is from RNAcentral.
UUGCAAGAGCACAGCUAACAGCCCUGGACAACAACGAAAGCACUAAUCGUGCGCUUGUUCAUGAUGCUGAGAGCAACCCAAUUUAUAGGCAGGCAUUCAAUAAGGCCAAGAAGUACUGGAUCGUAAAAAAGCGGUACUGUACUAAGACGCACCGUUUCUGCCAUGAAAUCUUGGUAACUGCCCUGGAUAUGCAGAAAGGAUGUGAAGAAGCAAGAUAUGCCUAAAUUCCAGCAUUACCAAAAAAUAUAGCUGCGCAGCCAUGCCCACCUAAGGCAGAACUUGUGGAGAAUACACCAAUCGAGGUUCCCGGAGACAGCGAGAACACACAAGUUUUAGUAAGAUGGCAGCACCUCACUGUAACCAUUUAUGCGCAUCCGCAGAGAAGAUGACUGCCCCCAUGGUUUAAGACAAAGCUGUUUUGAAAGACGUGCCGCUCCUGGACCCACUUCGAGUGUCAGGAGAUAGAGAAAACCAAUCAAGAUAUUUGGGCCAAAUUGGAAGGCGAUUACAUAUGCAAGGCAUGCCACAUAAACUACGAUGGAUCAUUUGACUACCUAAUGGGAUUGGAGCGCCUUAAACAGGCUGCAAAGCAAGGAAUGACGAAGCUCACGUGUAUUGCACGGAGGGAAUGGCUACUUCUGAAG